AUAAAUGCAAAAUAGCCAUGAGAAUGCAGACAGUAGUGGAUUGGAUUGAUGCAGGUGCAUGGUUUGCUGUAAGACGACUUGCAGAAUAAACAACUUUUAAAUAGUAUUUUUUGUGUGUUUGUCAGGAAACGUAAACUGCUCCUAACAUUCAGUACUAUCCUAUGUUAAGUAAAAAUAAUGGGACGGAUACAUCGCUCGGUUCUGAUUCCUUAGAUAUAAACUACAUUUGACAAUGUGUGAUAAGCUGCGUUGCUAGACUUGCCAAAGCAGCUGAAAACUGUAAAUUCUUACAUUUAUCUCUGUAUGGUAUUUAUUUGAAACCCCUCUUUAUUCAUACUAAAUAUUAAUGCUUUUAGGUUUUAUAAAACAAAAUGGUAGGAAUAAGCCACAGUUUUGCAUAAAAGCCUAAAACAUGUCUUGUAACUUUUCUUUUUCCUGUUCCUUCUCCUCAGUGCACAGUAAGGCUGCCCUUUAGUGGUGGCACACAGCACUACACCAAUCUUAACAAGUGUGACCCAUUAGUAACUGCUAAUCAAAUGAAUGGCAAUUUCAUGGUACAAAUAGCAAUGUAUGUACAUGGUCACAAUUUUUGUGAGCAUGUGUAGGAAAGAUUUUUUUGAACGUGUGAAUAAAAUCUGUAAACAAAUUAUGUUACACAAAGACACUGGAAACAAGCAUUUGUGAACAUCUGUGUACAGGCAGAAAGUAGUAAACUGCACAGGUUUAAUGUGAAUCAUACAUGAAUCUGAUUGGACAUUGGCAGUCCAAUCACAGAGCAGAGUCAAAUUGUCCAAUCAGGUGGUAGCUGGGUUCUUCAAGUUAGUCUCUGGUGGUGGUUCUGGAAGUUUGGUUGUAGUGGAGAUUCAAGAUGGACGAUAGCAGUUCUGCUACUUAGGUUCUGAUCUUCCAAAUGGCCAGAAACAAGGCAGCCGUGGCUCUGGAGCUCUUCCUUGAUGCUGCAAAGAAACGGUACUUUACAUCCAGAUUCAUUGUCAUCUAAAGAAGAGGUUCUUAACCGCUUUAAGAAAUGUUCAGGAGCACCCUGGUGGCCUAAGGUCUGACUCUGCAUUCAACUGAGGACCUGAGUUGCAUGUCUGUCUUCUCAUUUCCAGUCAUCUCUCUAUUGUCUAUCAUCCAUAAAAUGCCUGAAACAAUUUUACAAAAAGUCUUUGUGAUUUUUGCCUAAAAUAAAUAUCAAUGCAGCCUGUCAGUCAAUACUGCACAUUUAAAAGUGUCAAAAAAUGGAAGACCAUUGACACGAAAGCUCGUUAAACAGUGUUUCACCAUUAUUUGGCCCCAGAGCAGCCCUUGGUAUCAUGAAUCUUCACAGCCCCACAGUAUCACCACUUUCCAGCCCUAACCAAAGCAUCCCUGAAUCCUGUCCUCACCUCUGGUUUUUGCUUAAGAUAUAACACAGCCUAUAGUCUUAAACCUGGAGAAGGAUGAUGAAUCUUAUUACAGUAUUUCCAUGGUUUCAGGGAUUUACAGCUUUGAGUGUUUUGGCUGCAGAGGAAAGCAAGAGACAGCACUCCCUCACUUUGGGGAUCACUGCCAAGAACACAAAUUCUGACUUUACCCUUUAAUGUAAGAGGGUAGGUGAAUCAAAUCACAUACACUCAGAGAGGCAAGCCUUGCACUUCAGAGUAUUACAGGACAGACAGUGAAAUGAGCUUGCAGUGAUGAAGCCAGACUGUAUCAAACUUAUUCUUAAACCUAUGUAAAGAUGUUCAGAAAAAUACUACAGUCAGAUAAGAAAAACAUACAUUUGAAGAACUAACUAUAAUACACUAAGUGUUUAUAGUGGAUCUGAUUUUUCUGGGAUGCCAAUAUUUUCAGUUUAAUAUUGUUUUACAGAAUCAUUCAGUGAAUCAGUAGUCAAUAAUACACAAAUGUGCAAAAGAAUGGAAGAGCCAAAUGCUGUUUACCCAUUAUUUGGCCCCAAAGAGGCGGGUGUCAGGCUAUGCUGUCAUAAAUCUUCAGAACCCCACAAUAGGUAAUACCAUAGUCUACACCUAACCUACCCUUAACACAAAGGAUCCCUGAUGCCCUCUCCUCACCCAAGCAAAACAGUCACUAGGACUAGCAAACAUUUCAGAUAGCUCACCAAAUAACUAGACAAACUACUGCUUCCUUUUGUGCUGCAUCAGAAUCCACCCUAUGUUGCUAAUCACUCCAACAAACCAGUCAGACCUCUAAUAUGUCCUCUUGGGUAACUUGCUCAUGCUAACACCAGGUAGUAGGCCUCAAGCAUGCUGCCUGUAUCAACCAUUUUGUCAAGUCUGUCCUCCUAUGCUAGUUUACUUAGCGUCCAGUUUACAAUUCAAAGCACUGACCUAUUUUACCUAUUUUUUUACUCCAUUCACACACCUUUCUUCUGUUCCAGAGUCAGUCACUGGACCUUCCUGCACUAUCAGCUAGAGUCCUAAUUACUUGUCUUAGGCUCUGCCCUUUUAUAACCAGCUCACCUACUGUAGCAGAGAGACAGCUGACUUGGCUACAAAUCCCCUACAACCAACCUCCAUGGGGCAGAUUUUAAGUUUCUAGCCAUGCUCCUCUAAGUCUGUGUAUUUGAGUUUUUUCCUCUCAUAAGCUGCAUCUACAGCAUCCUCCCAGUGAACUGUAAGCUCCACAAAAUACAGUCAGCUGCAUUUCUGACCACAACACAACGUCUGGUCUGAGGUUAGUGCUGACUGUCUCCUCAGGAACUACAGUAUGAGCUGAUUCCCUAUUUACUUUCACUUGCCAAUCUCUCCCUGCUUUUAGCUGGCCUGCAUUUUGCCUGCACAAAAUGACUUCCUGCCUUUUUCACCCUCACAAACAAAAUGUCUUCUCCUCCUCCAAGGAGUUUACCUCUAAGUGCCUACUUUCAAUAGCUUCUGCUAAACAUUUCAGCGAUUGAUUACAGAGAUCAGGCAGACAGACAUCUUUGGUUACACUGCAAUCUGAAAUACAAUCAGUUCUAAUCUGAUUACAGCUGGACCAGAAUCACAGGUUUUCAUACUACACAGACUUUAAUACAAAGAGCUGAGCUCCAGUGAGAGAAAUCAUAUUCUCUUAUAUCCAGGCUUCUGAGUACACACAUGCACUGUUUGGUUAAUCCAACCUCAACCUGCCAACUCUCACACUGACAUGAAGGAGAGCCGAUGUACCAGAGUCAAAUUCCUUGUGUGUCUGAUGCACCUGGCCAAUAAAGCUGAUUCUGAUUCUGACAUUUUUGUGACUGCCUGACAGUAAUCCUGAAUUUACAUUUCUGUGUCAUGUCAUUUAUUCUCUAACUCUUGAGUAUCUUAAAAAUAUGCUAAAGCAGUGCAGGUCCCAGGGAGACUCCCUGCUGCUCAAAGCAGAUUUUUGAGUGGGAGGUUAUCAUCAGCCGCCUAACACUGCCACCAGCAAACUGCUGCCAA
This is a long non-coding RNA of Monopterus albus (swamp eel), 3404 nucleotides long. RefSeq lists it as uncharacterized. The transcript is spliced from 3 exons. Lineage: Eukaryota; Metazoa; Chordata; Actinopteri; Synbranchiformes; Synbranchidae. The record is from RefSeq and is a predicted model, not a curated record.